Molecule: ribosomal RNA, 492 nt
Filed under: uncultured bacterium
Lineage: Bacteria
Description: partial 16S ribosomal RNA
Rfam family: Bacterial small subunit ribosomal RNA
Source: RNAcentral
AGUGAACGCUGGCGGUAGGCCUAACACAUGCAAGUCGAACGGCAGCACAGUAAGAGCUUGCUCUUACGGGUGGCGAGUGGCGGACGGGUGAGGAAUACAUCGGAAUCUACUUUUUCGUGGGGGAUAACGUAGGGAAACUUACGCUAAUACCGCAUACGACCUACGGGUGAAAGCAGGGGAUCUUCGGACCUUGCGCGAUUGAAUGAGCCGAUGUCGGAUUAGCUAGUUGGCGGGGUAAAGGCCCACCAAGGCGACGAUCCGUAGCUGGUCUGAGAGGAUGACCAGCCACACUGGAACUGAGACACGGUCCAGACUCCUACGGGAGGCAGCAGUGGGGAAUAUUGGACAAUGGGCGCAAGCCUGAUCCAGCCAUCCCGCGUGGGUGAAGAAGGCCUUCGGGUUGUAAAGCCCUUUUGUUGGGAAAGAAAAGCAGCAGGUUAAUACCCCGCUGUUCUGACGGUACCCAAAGAAUAAGCACCGGCUAACUUCGUG